GUCAUUCCUUCUUCUCCCCUUUACUGGAUCUGGAUCUGGACACUCAUUAUCAGCUUGCGCAUCUAACUGCUGAUAUCAUGGUGCUACUUAACUAUCUUCGCAGCACCCCCUCUGGAAAUGGAAAUGCGGGGUCCGUCCGCCCCCCCGAUACAAAAUCUGCCCCGUGAACCCCACUUGAAGUACAUCGACAAUGUCUCGAGAGUCCUUGAAUGGAUGAAAUCACUGUGCCAGCGGUACAAGGUCACUCCGGCCAAGUUAUUUCUGACGCGUGUUUCCAAGUUCCUCCAUUAACUCGAUGAGUAACUGUCCAAGGGCCGAGUUGGCUCCACGAGGCUGUGGAGUCUCCAGAGACUGCUGCAGUGGGAGUGCAGACAUCUGUCCGGUCGAGUCGUGCUCCACAGGCAAGGCGUGCGAGCGGAGAAGAGUGAGGGAGUACUUACAGCUCCUGCACGGCAAACUGUUGGACGCUGUCCCUGUUUCACUGGCUGAUCUGAACUCGUCCAGCAGACCCGGACAUGCUCAACCAUUGCAUCGGGCUGCUGUGUGCUCACUUCUUUUCGGUCAGCGGACACAGGACCGGAGUCCUGCAGAACCUCACGACUGAGGAGUUUGAGAACCUCGAGAAGGCUGACUCUUUCUGAUCAAUGUGAUGCAGCACAAACCUGCCUCUGCUUUUGGACUCGCUAAGCUAGCCAUCACCAAGCUGGAGCUGAAGUGGCUGAAAGCUUUCUGCCGCCUGAGGAAGCAUAUGCCGGGAUAUGAGACUUCUGUGGGGUGGCUUUUCUUUUCUGGCACACAGGCCAGGAUUUCUGCGCAUGUCAAGCUUGCCCUGCGGGCACUCGUGGGAAGAGACAUCACUGUGUCGGACAUCCGCACAGCUCUAGCAACCUACCCCACUUGAAGUACAUCGACAAUGUCUUGAGAGUCCUUGAAUGGAUGAAAUCACUGUGCCAGCGGUACAAGGUCACUCCGGCCAAGUUAUUUCUGACGCGUGUUUCCAAGUUCCUCCAUUAACUCGAUGAGUAACUGUCCAAGGGCCGAGUUGGCUCCACGAGGCUGUGGAGUCUCCAGAGACUGCUGCAGUGGGAGUGCAGACAUCUGUCCGGUCGAGUCGUGCUCCACAGGCAAGGCGUGCGAGCGGAGAAGAGUGAGGGAGUACUUACAGCUCCUGCACGGCAAACUGUUGGACGCUGUCCCUGUUUCACUGGCUGAUCUGAACUCGUCCAGCAGACCCGGACAUGCUCAACCAGUUGCAUCGGGCUGCUGUGUGCUCACUUCUUUUCGGUCAGCGGACACAGGACCGGAGUCCUGCAGAACCUCACGACUGAGGAGUUUGAGAACCUCGAGAAGGCUGACUCUUUCUGAUCAAU
Long non-coding RNA from Ictalurus punctatus (channel catfish), 1370 nucleotides. Lineage: Eukaryota; Metazoa; Chordata; Actinopteri; Siluriformes; Ictaluridae. The record is from Ensembl.